AGAGCGAACGCUGGCGGCAGGCCUAACACAUGCAAGUCGAGCGCCGUAGCAAUACGGAGCGGCAGACGGGAGAGUAACACGUGGGAACGUACCUUUUGGUUCGGAACAACUGAGGGAAACUUCAGCUAAAUACCGGAUAAGCCCUUACGGGGAAAGAUUUAUCGCCAAAAGAUCGGCCCGCGUCUGAUUAGCUAGUUGGUGAGGUAACGGCUCACCAAGGCGACGAUCAGUAGCUGGUCUGAGAGGAUGAUCAGCCUCACUGGGACUGAGACACGGCCCAGACUCCUACGGGAGGCAGCAGUGGGGAAUAUUGGACAAUGGGCGCAAGCCUGAUCCAGCCAUGCCGCGUGGGUGAUGAAGGCCCUAGGGUUGUAAAGCCCUUUCGGCGGGGAAGAUAAUGACGGUACCCGCAGAAGAAGCCCCGGCUAACUUCGUGCCAGCAGCCGC
Molecule: ribosomal RNA, 447 nt
Filed under: uncultured bacterium
Lineage: Bacteria
Description: SSU rRNA
Rfam family: Bacterial small subunit ribosomal RNA
Source: RNAcentral